RNAcentral lists this ribosomal RNA (222 nucleotides) under uncultured bacterium. RNAcentral's name for it is "partial 16S ribosomal RNA". It matches the Rfam family "Bacterial small subunit ribosomal RNA", at positions 524 to 743 of the family's 1533-position model. The record is from RNAcentral.
UACGUAGGGUGCAAGCGUUGUCCGGAAUUAUUGGGCGUAAAGAGCUCGUAGGCGGUUUGUUGCGUCGGCUGUGAAAUCCCGAGGCUCAACCUCGGGUCUGCAGUCGAUACGAGCAAACUAGAGUGUUGCAGGGGAGACUGGAAUUCCUGGUGUAGCGGUGAAAUGCGCAGAUAUCAGGAGGAACACCGGUGGGCGAAGGCGGGGUCUCUGGGCAACAACUGA